RNAcentral lists this long non-coding RNA (245 nucleotides) under Elaeis guineensis (African oil palm). Its description in RNAcentral is "long non-coding RNA (EGUI_LNC071696)". Lineage: Eukaryota; Viridiplantae; Streptophyta; Magnoliopsida; Arecales; Arecaceae. The record is from RNAcentral.
GUUGGGUUGGUAUGUCAUAUAUGCUUCUAGGUGUUAUUUAUUGUACAACAUGCCAAUUAUCUCGAUACUUUAGAUCUUUCAAAUAUAUUACUUAUUUUGCUUGAGUUGCUAAUAUAUAUGGCUCAUUCUGGUACCAUGUUCGUACAAAAUUUACACUGAUAAAGUGUGAGUCGAUAUGAAUAUCAAUCUUUUUAUUACUAAUAUCCCACCAUUCAUAUUGAAACAAGAAUACAAAAUUACUGGAC